Molecule: long non-coding RNA, 578 nt
Organism: Osmerus eperlanus (European smelt)
Lineage: Eukaryota; Metazoa; Chordata; Actinopteri; Osmeriformes; Osmeridae
Exons: 3
Source: RefSeq, a predicted model, not a curated record
AUUACACACUGACGGUCAGACAGGUAGUGUUCUUUGUCUGUUCUGUGAUUUCAUAUUAGCUUAGAUAUAGCUUUUCUGUUGUUGGAUGGGAACCAAUGUUGUUGUUUCAUGCAGUAGGAUCAUGGAUAGAAUAAGAGUAGGGUGUUGGGGAUUUUGAAGGUUUAUGUUGACCAUAGACAGCUUACUGGCGACAAGCAGAUUUGUAUAAAGUUUUAUUGUGUUAUUGAUAUACAAUACAAUAUAUUGUACUGUAAUUCUUAAUUUCAGUGUGGAGAUAAAAACAACACAAAGCUCACUUUACCUGGCUGAUGGAUUCCGGCUCCCUCUGGUGUAAUAGAAUGUGAACUACAGGUUGAGUCUCCAGAACAAGCCUCACCAUGGUAGGAAACUGUGGAUUUAUGGUAUUUGUCUUGCUGAACACAGCUAUUGUCUAAAUCUUAGCCGUGUGUCAACGGGAUUGUUUGCACUUUGGAGUUGGACUGACAUGAAUGUGACAGCAGAAGCACUCGCUUUCUUCAGUCUGUUGGUCUAUAUGGGUAAGUACAGCUCUGAAGGUUGACAUCAGUUUACACGUUCUG